AUAACUCAAAUUAUAAAGCCGUGAUACCUCCUGUAGAAAAAUGUAGUGUAUAUCCUUAUUACAUUUUAAAAAAGUUCAAUGUCAGUGAUCAAUAUACAUGUGCAUCAUUGUUAAGCUUCAUAUUUCAUAUAAGUGAUAAAUUAAGAAAACUACUUCAAAUAUAAUAAAAAUACUAUAUAAAAAAUAUAAAUUCAUGUACUUGAUUGAUAAUUGUUAGGCUCAGUGUUAGGACAGAAACAAAUAGUUUUAUCAACUAGAGUCUAGGUUGGAAAUAAUUUUUUUUUACAGCUACGUUCCCUUUGACAGAUUAGUUACACUCAUUGUUUUAAAAGCAGUUUAACAUGUCUAACAUGUUAAUGUCCCUAUACAAUACGUUGAAUACAUCGACGGAGCUUUCUUAUUCCAUCAGAUGUGAUGACAUACAUUUAAAUGCAUUAAUUACGAACCACAUUGGUCUACAUCCCGAGGUAUCCUUGUGACAAAGUUGGUUCACUUCUUUUAAACAUGCGUCUAGUUACCCUUUUGUGCGACCAUUAUUAAUAUCGUUAACGGAAUGAUCAGCAACUUUGUUUAGUCAAGUAAACAAAAAAUCGCAUCAUAAUUCACAACAUUUUACCCUUAGAAAUAUUUAAAUCAAAGUAAUAACAAUGUAUGAAAUAGUUCGUUCAAAGCGUGCCAAACACUACUUUUAUUUCAUAAUUCCUGUAUUGUUGUACAAACAAAAAUGCAAGGACAAUUCGGUAAAGGCAUUAAUAGAAAAAUAUUAUCCAUAUUUAAGCACUUAUUCACUGACUGUCUGUAGAGUAAGUAGCGUCUAGGACAGUCAUCUAAAUAAAGAAUACACAUCUUGUACCUCUAUUUAUAGAACAUUUUACAUACAAUUGUCAGAUCUAUUUUUAUAAUCGCAAAAUUUAUCAGAUAUUUAUACUACAAUUUCAUGGUAAACCCAUUGAACAUAUUUAAAUAAUCUAUGCAACAAUUUAAAAUAAGAUUAUGAAAUGACAGUGCUAUUUUAAAAUAUUCUAUAUAUAUCUACAUAUUUACACAUACUACACACAUAAAAAGGAACAUAUUAAUGUUUGAACUU
This 1087-nucleotide long non-coding RNA is filed under the name Mytilus galloprovincialis (Mediterranean mussel). The record is from RNAcentral. Lineage: Eukaryota; Metazoa; Mollusca; Bivalvia; Mytilida; Mytilidae.